Long non-coding RNA from Dreissena polymorpha, 419 nucleotides. RefSeq lists it as uncharacterized. NCBI's taxonomy places the organism in Eukaryota, Metazoa, Mollusca, Bivalvia, Myida, Dreissenidae. The transcript has 3 exons. The record is from RefSeq and is a predicted model, not a curated record.
GCUGCCGGGACCCACGUAAAGGCGAAAUGCUUCCGUCAGAUCAAAUAUGUCGCACCAUCAAACACAGGCGAAGGUUCUGGUGGCUGGAACAGUUGGUCAAGCUGGAGCGAGUGUUCAAACACGUGCAGUUCCGGUACGAACAUGCGCACGCGCGUCUGCAGCGGAAACGGAAAUCAGUGCAAUGGCAUCACGACCGAAACGGAGAAGCGGAAUUGUCCAUUUGAAAGAGACUGCCCUGUUGACGGUGGGUGGAGCCAAUGGAGUAUGACGUCAUCAUGUUCAGUCACUUGUGGUGGAGGAAAACAAUUUAGGUCAAGGUCAUGUAGUUAUCCCCCUCCUAGCUACGGCGGUAAACUGUGCGUCGAUACUUCCGGCCAGCUUACGUCACUCAACGAAACAUAUUUGCUAGUUUGCAAUAC